Ficedula albicollis (Collared flycatcher) is the source of this 5693-nucleotide long non-coding RNA. RefSeq lists it as uncharacterized. NCBI's taxonomy places the organism in Eukaryota, Metazoa, Chordata, Aves, Passeriformes, Muscicapidae. The transcript is spliced from 3 exons. The record is from RefSeq and is a predicted model, not a curated record.
CCUGGGCCUGCUCUCUGUUCCCUUCCUGCAUUAGAGAUUGGCUAUAAGGAGAAGGCUGACGGCUGCAGCAUGAAGCGCAUUAUUACCUUGUGAUUCCAUGACCCUCCUCUAUGCAUCCCUAACUCUCGAAAGCUGAUUCAGCUUUCAGCUAGUGCUCUGGUAUAAUUCUGAGCGCUGUCUCGCGGCAUGGCAGCGGAGGCGGCAGGGAGGCUUUGCCACGGACGGUGUCACAUCACGGACGAUGUUAAAAAUGAAAUGGGGUGGAUGUGGCCCCCCAAGAGCCAUGGUAGCCUUGCUGUUGGCACCAAUGGAAGCAGGUGAUGGCUGCUUCACCAACCACUUUGCCCCGCUCUUCCACUCCAUGGCAGCUCUUCAUCCCGUUUACCGCUCCUUGGAUUAAAGCCGCGGCCGCUACGUUGCACUGGGCCCGCUCUAUUUUACAGCUAAAUUAAAGCCACUUCUCUUAAACUUUUUACAAACUGGAGAGCAUCUCCUGGCCUUGAGUGCCGUGGUGGGUGUGCUACCAGGAGCACCCGUGCUGCACCUGCAGCGCUGGGAUGCUCAGGUGCACCCAUCCAUCCCGCGAGCCGAGGACUGUGCAGCGCCAGGCACGGAAACAGGAGCUCUGAGAAUUGUAAAAGCCAUAAAUCCAGUGGACCAAAUUAGUUAAAUUUUUCUAUUCUAUGCCUCACAAAAUCCAGCCGUUCUGGAGAUGAAUUCCCCACAUGUAAGCGGAACUACCGGCAGGUAUAAGAUGGAUAUUUCGCACGUGCACAUGAGAGCACAGGGACAAAUUUGUGCCAUGCAGUUUUCCCUGGCGGGUUUUCCUUUUUUCUGUACUUUUGUGUAUUUGUUACAUCGAUGAUCCAUUAUUACAGUUGUUACUAUUACUUAAUGUUGGAAGACAGGUGGUCCCAUAAAUUCUAGCACCCUCUAUUUUUUUUUUUUUUAAAGGGGGGGGCAUGUUUGCAAUUCAAGUUUAAUAGUGCAUUCAUCAAGAGCAAUAAAGCAUUUUAUUGCACAAGUAUUUCAAGGGAUGUGCUGGCCCUGGUAAAAGCAUUAGUAAAGGGGUGCAUCAGCAAUCUCAUUUAAAACUGUCGACCCAACGUGAAAAAUGUUGCGUUGAAGAAUAAACUGCUAUUAAGCAUGAUUAGAUUGACCUGCAGGACAGAUAUUUUAGCUGCAGCAGCACAAGUCGAUCAAAGUGAGCAUCGCUUAGAUUGCAAAUUUUUUUUUUUAAUGCCCUAAAUUAAAAAUGAAAGAGCCUCAGAAUAUUUAGGACCAGAGUGUGACUUUGGGGGUGAGAUCUGUGCAUUCGAUUCGAAGUGGUUUGGGAAAGUGAGGAAAGGGGGAAAAGGUAUUAAUUGCUGCCCCUUUAGCAUACAUUGAAAAUAUGUUACUCAGAUCAACCAAUCAAAAAAGAAAUUGUGCUGACUCAGCACUCGGGCUAGUCUGCACGUCCGAUUGCAGAAGAGAUCAGCACUGCACUGCAGUAUCUUUCCCUGCCUUUGACACCAGCCUAGCUGGGCAGGGCUUCCCUUGUGUUUCCCAGGACUAGUUUAGGCCAAGAACAAGAGAAGGCCCUGAAGAGAGGAGGAGAGUCAAGGUUGCACGAGCCUCGAGCUGCUGACAAUCCUUUUUAGUCAGUAAGAAAGAGCUUCCAUGCUAGGUUUGCCCUGCCAGAUGCAAGCGGCAUGAAUUGCUUGGGAAUAUAUCUAUUUUUAAAGACUUUCACCACAUCUUGCACUUAGCAGUGACUGUGGGCGAGGGGGUGGUGUGUUCCUAGCAAGAGAAAUAUCCUCGCUCCUGAGCUCGGAUCCCUCCCUGGAAAGCCCAGGGCUGAUUUCAGUGCGGCACUGGCGGGUGCCUCCCCGAGAAGACGCUGGGUUAAAUGUUUGCCGCGCGAUGCUGAAGUUGCUCUUGACCUCAGCCAAGCGGGCAGUGAUGCUGAGAGCUGCCUUCCCACUGGGAUGUGGGGGUCAGGCUGAGAGCAGCUCAGUGCUCCAAGGGUGGGAGCCAGGACAGAACAUGGGCUCACUCCACUGCUGGCUCGCUGGGGAUGCAGACAAGUUGUGUAGCUCGCCUGCCUCAGUUUCCCUCCGAGGCAAAGUAGGUUAUUGCUGAGGGGUUGUUGAAGCUGUGUUUGCAUGGUGAGGCUGAGGGUGGAGGCGACCAAAGCAAGUGGAGGCAACGACGUGAGGCCAAGAUUGUUCUGGUUUUGCUGGCAAUGGCUUGCACAGUUCUGCCUGGUGUGUAUUUGAGGAGACAGCACAGCCUGCCUGGACUGUGCCCCUCUGGCUCCAUGCUGUCAUGCAAAGGCUCAUCUGCAUAGAACAGGUGCAAGGUGUGAGGUGUGGAGGCUGGACCUCAACCAUGAGCCCACGGAGCCGUGGAUGCCUGGGGGGUUGUCCCAGGAUGAUGGGUGAUGGGGUCUGUGGGGUCUGUGGGCUGCUCCAGCACGGCUGGCCUGCUUGCUGGUCACCAGUGUGGCCGUGAUCCUGUGCUGCUGGGUGAGUCUGCUGGCACCCUGCAGGCUGGGCUAUGCCAGGCUUAACCAGCCCUGAGCACCUUGGUGGGCACCUACAGGUGGAGCAGUGUCCCUGAGGGCUGCUGUCUCCUGACCACUGCAGCACCCCGUGAUGCUGUUGAGGUGUUUUUGUUUGCACUGUGUAAGCAGCACCAGCGAGCAUCCCUGGGUUAGUCUGUAUUUUUCCAGAGCAGUCUGUACGGAGGAGCAGCGCUGGUGGAUGACCCCCUUGUGUGCAAGGGGAAGGCUUUCAGACACAGAUAUGUCUUGACUAAAGCUGGAUUUGAUAGUCAAAGGUUUUAGCAGUUGGAACAGUUGCUGGUGUUGCUCAGGAGGCUCAAGGGAAGCAGGUGACUGACAUCUCCAACAGAUGCAGAGUUUUCCUUUUUUUUUCCUUUUCCUUUUUUUUUCUCCUGAAGCACAGAGCCUGCAAAUGCCUCGCCAUGCCCAGAUAUGGCCUGUGCUGGGACCUGUGCCGCUAUCUAAAAAAGCCCUGGGCAGAGUGAUGAGCCUGGGGGAACUGGGGAACAACUGCUAUAAAUAGUCUCAUUCUCAGCUGCCCUUCUGGGGGGACAGGAUUAGGUGGCAUCUGGGCAGCCAGGAGGCGUGGGACUCGUGACCAUCAACCGCAGAAGUCACCCAGCAGCUGUAAGGACAGGAGCCAUCCCUGCAAAGGCCUUACAUAGGCAAGUCAACCCUGGCAUUUGGGGGGUCGGAUAAAGCCACAGGAGCAGGAAUUCAGUGACCUAAGAGCAAUUGAGAAUAAAGUUCACCGCAACGGCCGGGACAGCGCUUCCAAUCUGAGCUGUGACCUGGCACUGGAGACAGAACUUGGCUUUUGGCUUUUCAAGCUGUUCGGUGCAAGCAAAGGAAGGUGUCAGGAGGGAGAUGGUGACACGGGAAGCAAAGUGUCACAAGGAGCUGCUGAGAUGAAAAGAUUGGUGUUCCCUUCUGGGAGGCUGCGGGUUAAUUUGCUUGCUAAUUUCCUGGCAGCGAGACUAUUGGAAGCUCUGAUUUAAUAUUUGUGUUUACUUCGGGUAAACAAAUUAACAAAAAAAACCCCAAGUCUUAAUAAUUUAAGACACCGACUUGAUUGAAGCUAGCAGAAAGUAAUGAAUCUCAUGUGGUCAUUUCACUCCCAACCUGACAGGAGGUGGGCAGUGCCUGGAGCUCAUGGCAGUGGGGAUGUAGGGUAGCUGGUCCCUAAAAGUGAAGGGAGCUAUGGACUGCAGGAAAGUGAAACGGCUUCUGAAGGAGCAGAGGAAAAGCACUGUGUUGUGCUUGAAUUAAGCUCAGCCUUGAGUAUUUGAAGGGAAAAAAUGGAGCAGGGUGAAUGGGAGAUUUGGCCAAACAGAGGAGGUGGCUGUGCAGGUGAUACCUGGGAGGGAUGUCCUGAAAUGUGUGCAGUGGGAGACUGGGGAUAAAAUCGUGGAGCAGCACUGCAGCUUGUCCCUGAGCAGGUCUGCUGUGGGAUGGGCACUGGCAUGUGCAGGCAGGGUGAGAUGGGUAUUUAUGUCCAGGCUUUGCCCCUUCUGUCCCUCACAGUGUCAGGGCUGUGCUGCACCACUCUGCCUUCCUUAAAUUGAGCCAGCUUUGUCCUAAAGCCUUGUCUUUGAGACAAUAAGAUGCACCCGCUAAAAUCUAUUGUGCCGUUUUUGCAAAGCCCAGCAAAAGUCCCCCGUGCACCGUCCCCUCCCUGUCCUCCACGCUCAUUUGGCCUAUUUGAAACUGAAUUUAUUCCUGGGAAGGUCCCCAUCAAUUUGCCUUGCUCUUUUGUUGACAAGUUUAUUAAAAACCUGGGCAACUACAUAUUAAACUUUUAUCAGUGUCGAGGAAGAAUACGUCCUUUGAGCGGCCACAAAAGUUAUGGAUUGGGGCUUAAUGUUUCUUGUUCCACCAUUCAGCUGAGUCAGCGUAACAAAUAAAAGCUGCCACUUCUUUUUUUUUUUUCCUUUUCUUGAGAGACAGUUCCCUUAACAGUGUAAGUAACUGUGUCCAGUAAUGCAAAAAACGUUUCAGGUCUGGGUAAGCAUGGGGGUUUUUGUUUCUCUUUGUGCCCGUAAGUCUUUAAUAAUUUGAAUAAGUAAUUUAAAAUAGGAAAAUAUGAACCCUGGAGAAAGUUAUUGCUGCUUAGCUCUGAAUCGAUAGUUUUGGUAAAAUAACAGGUACCUUAUAGUGCUUAUAUUUAAAAAUUUGCUGCAAAUGAAUAACUGUUGUACUGCAAGUGAUGUGUUUUCAUCCAGUGUGAAGGCAGGAAGGGGCUGGAGCGAUGUUUGGUUGGGGAUGUCCCUUUGCAGUGCUGCAAUAGGGGAUCUUCUCUCUUUUUCUUUAGUCAUAAGAUGAAACAAAGAGGAGGGCAAUAUGUUGCACCAAAGAUGUUAAAAAUAAAGCGUUAGAAUUGCAUAACCUAGUUCCCGUUUUGCCGUGCAGCUGAGUUUUUAGGAGUUGAAAGAAGCCUGAGAAAUAAUUGGUAGGAAGGAGUUUAAAUUGAUACAACAACAGUCAGGCAGGGGGGAAAAAAGAGAGCCUUGGUGGGACUAAGCCACAAUUCUUAAACUCUGCUGGGCAAAUAAAUAAAUAACACAGCAUCUUUCUCUGCCUGUCACCGUGUCCAAGGAUUUUUUAGUUCUUAAACAUGUUUGCUGGCAUAAUUUGUCAAGUCCAACAGGGAGGUUUCCGUGUGACAGCCGAUCGUUUUUCACCAGGCACAGUGGUGCACCAAGCCGUCCUGCCGGCUCGGAGCAGCUCCAUAAUUAGACAAGAGUUAACACUGCUGUGUGAGGUGGCUCAUCCUCCUGCCCAGGGCAUGGCACAGCCCAUCCUGAGCCGUGCCCGUGGACAAAUCCCUCUGCCUCCAGGAGCUUAUCUGCAUCACCAUUUGCUCCAAUUAUAACUAAUUGGGCGCAUAUUGCAUUUUCAUAGAAUCUAAUUUUCUAUUGAUUUUAACGGGACUGCUGGUGUUUUGUACUAUUAAGUGGUAUCUUGUAUCGGUUGCUGUUUAAAAACGCUGAGUGCACUCCCCUGUAUGGGAUUAUGCAGUCAGCACAUGUUUUAAAACCUGUUUAAUUGUUAGGUCCAUAAAAUGCACAAACUGUAUUAGGGAGCGGCUUUGUUCGCUUUUGAGAGUGUGAGUGGCAAAACAAAAAAAUCCAACUCCACAACUAUU